CCUACGGGUGGCAGCAGUGGGGAAUAUUGCACAAUGGGGGAAACCCUGAUGCAGCGACGCCGCGUGAGUGAAGAAGUAUUUCGGUAUGUAAAGCUCUAUCAGCAGGGAAGAAAAUGACGGUACCUGACUAAGAAGCCCCGGCUAACUACGUGCCAGCAGCCGCGGUACUACGUAGGGGGCAACCGUUAUCCGGAUUUAAUGGGGGUAAAGGGAGCGUAGGCGGGAAGACAAGUCAGAAGUGAAAGGCCAGGGUUCAACCCUGGGACUGCUUUUGAAACUGCCGGGCUGGAGUGCAGGAGAGGUAAGCGGAAUUCGUAGUGUAGCGGUGAAAUGCGUAGAUAUUAGGAGGAACACCAGUGGCGAAGGCGGCUUACUGGACUGUAACUGACGUUGAGGCUCGAAAGCGUGGGGAGCAAACAGGAUUAGAUACCCGUGUAGUC
This 440-nucleotide ribosomal RNA is filed under the name uncultured bacterium. RNAcentral's name for it is "partial 16S ribosomal RNA". It matches the Rfam family "Bacterial small subunit ribosomal RNA", at positions 338 to 795 of the family's 1533-position model. The record is from RNAcentral.